RNAcentral lists this microRNA (22 nucleotides) under Glycine max (soybean). RNAcentral's name for it is "gma-miR5375". The record is from miRBase by way of RNAcentral. Lineage: Eukaryota; Viridiplantae; Streptophyta; Magnoliopsida; Fabales; Fabaceae.
ACUAUAGAAGUACUUGUGGAGC